CUGUGUCAUUUUUUUCUUCUGAAAAUUAUGAUUUUCUUGGAUUAGUAGGACUCUAGGAAGUUUUCUUCCCCCAGAAAUACUCCUUGUUUUGGAAGAGAAGAUUAUGUUCAAGCUAUUCUCCUUGUCUUGCUCUUAUACUUUGUUCAUUUCUACAUGUAUUCAGAGGGUUGGCUUUAACAUGAGGGCCAGGCCUACUGGGAGGUGAAUUUUGAGGGGAAUUGCCCAUCAACUCUGGCUCCAGAAAAUCCAUUAGGAAAUAUUGAGCUCUGUGUAGGGCCUGACUCCAGAGGAGACUGAUGGCAGAUGGCCAUGCAGCCUCCUUCUCUUCUCCUGGCAAUACGUGAAAGUGCUGCCACCACCAUGUUGCUGCCACAGUUGUUGUUAGUUUCAUCUUCUCCUUCUCCUCCCCCUUUUAUCUGAUGGUGCAGGCUUCUCUUCAUUUUUAUCGGUGCCACAGCCUUCUUCUGUGACUAGGCAGGAAGACUCAGGUGCUUUCAGUAUUUAGUGAGAGCAACACCACAGAAGGCAGGUGGCAAAUGGCAGAGACAUACUACCUCACAUGUGCUCAUAUGUAGUAUCCGUGUGAUGUGGCACUGCCCUUCCCACUUCCUGACAGUGGGAGAGCUUGGGCACCCCACUCCUUAUUAUGCAUUUCUUCAUCUCACUCUCCAGUUUACAGGGUUGUCACAUCAGGUUACCAAACAUCAGUCAGAACAAUGAGAUGUUAUUAAAACUGUAGAUUAAUCUGGUGCCAUCCUAAAUGCUAGGCUACAAAUUCCAUAAUCCCAAAUUUGUAUUCUCCAUGAUCUACAAUCAGAGUAAUUAUAGUAGGAAACUUCCAGAGGGCAUCAGUUUGCGAAACACUUGAGGCGGCUAUUUACAGAAGUGACAGUUACGUCAGUUGAUGGAAUCUUCCUCUCCAGCGGAUAGAGCAUUUAAAUUCUGAAGACAAAAAUAAGGGAAGACUUGGAAUCAUCAUGUUUCAAAUUGUAUCAAAUCCAGUGUCUGCUGUGGGGACCCAGCAUGCACUGUGUAGAAAGCUGCAAAACAAUUCUGAUUUUGUAUCUCUGUAUAACUACAGUAUAAGGGCAAUCCAAUUCACAAGUAGGCAUCUAAGGAUGCCACUUCCUUUCCUGGACGUCCAAUUUUGCUGAAGAGAGGAAGAGACAGCAUGCGUGGGAAGUGAGGAGUGCUUUGCGCUAUGAGGUGGUAAAUGCAGAAGCUUAAAAUGGAUUGAGAUUGGUGGUAAUAGAGAGUGAGGAAGACGAGAACUUCAGCUCUGACUGAGAAAAAUGCUUCAGAGAUCAGCAAAGACAGGGGCCUACGUUCCUCUGCUUCUGACCUAAAGAUGCCACUGAGCAAUGGACAUCAUUCCAUCAGCUUAUUCCUUAGCAGGCUAAUGAAGUGGAAACAAUGAAGAAUAAGGGGAGAUCACAAAAGAGCAGAGUCAUAUUGGAUAUUGCUGCUGACAACGAGGAAAGGAUUGUCCGUAGGAUUCAAUGAGAGGAUUAAUCAGAAGGGGAAGAGAGAGACUAAGAAAAGGGAUGCACACUGUGCUCAAAAUCUCAGACCAAUUCCCAAGAUAAUUGAUUUUUAUAUUGUAAAUAAAUCAUAAGCA
This is a non-coding RNA of Pogona vitticeps (central bearded dragon), 1618 nucleotides long. NCBI's taxonomy places the organism in Eukaryota, Metazoa, Chordata, Lepidosauria, Squamata, Agamidae. The record is from RefSeq and is a predicted model, not a curated record.